RNAcentral lists this ribosomal RNA (492 nucleotides) under uncultured bacterium. RNAcentral describes it as "partial 16S ribosomal RNA". It matches the Rfam family "Bacterial small subunit ribosomal RNA", at positions 29 to 507 of the family's 1533-position model. The record is from RNAcentral.
AGUGAACGCUGGCGGCAUGCCUAAUACAUGCAAGUCGAACGGAAGCACAGUAAGAGCGUGCCCUUACGGGUGGCGGGUGGCGGACGGGUGACGAAUACAUCAGAAUCUACUUUUUCGUGGGGGACAACGUAGGGUAAGUUACGCUAAUACAGCAUAUGAUGUACGGGUGAAAUCAAUGGUUAUUCACACCUUUCGCGUCUGAUUUAGCCGAUGUCGGAUUAGCUAGUUGGCGAGGUAAAGGCACACCAAGGCGACGAUCCGUAGCUGGUCUGAGAGGAUGAUCAGCCACACUGGAACUGAGACACGGUCCAGACUCCUACGGGAGGCAGCAGUAGGGAAUCUUCCGCAAUGGGCGAAAGCCUGACGCAGCCAUACCGCGUGGGUGAUGAAGGUCUUCGGAUCGUAAAGCCCUGUUGUUAGGAAAGAACAACAGCGUAUUUAUCCAUCGCUGUUCUGACGGUACCCAAUCAGAAAGCACCGGCUAACUACGUG